UUGGAGGGCAAGUCUGGUGCCAGCAGCCGCGGUAAUUCCAGCUCCAAUAGCGUAUAUUAAAGUUGUUGCAGUUAAAAAGCUCGUAGUUGAAUUUCGGGAUCAAGGAAUCGGUCAUGCCUUGGUAUGUACUGGUUUUAUUGGUUCUCACCUUCUAAAGAACCAUGAUGUCAUUCAUUUGAUGUUAUGGGGAAUUAGGACUGUUACCUUGAAAAAAUUAGAGUGUUUAAAGCAAGCUUACGCUUGAAUACAUUAGCAUGGAAUAAUGAAAUAGGACAUCAGAUUCUAUUUUGUUGGUUUCUAGGAUCGAUGUAAUGAUUAAUAGGGAUAGUUGGGGGCAUUAGUAUUCAAUUGUCAGAGGUGAAAUUCUUGGAUUUAUUGAAGACUAACUACUGCGAAAGCAUUUGCCAAGGAUGUUUUCAUUAAUCAAGAACGAAAGUUAGGGGAUCGAAGACGAUCAGAUACCGUCGUAGUCUUAACCAUAAACUAUGCCGACUAGGGAUCGGAUGAUGUUAAUUUUUUAAUGACUCAUUCGGCGCCUUACGGGAAAC
This 548-nucleotide ribosomal RNA is filed under the name uncultured Glomus. Its description in RNAcentral is "SSU rRNA". It matches the Rfam family "Eukaryotic small subunit ribosomal RNA", at positions 548 to 1098 of the family's 1831-position model. Lineage: Eukaryota; Fungi; Glomeromycota; Glomeromycetes; Glomerales; Glomeraceae. The record is from RNAcentral.